Molecule: ribosomal RNA, 1362 nt
Filed under: Vorticella sp.
Lineage: Eukaryota; Ciliophora; Oligohymenophorea; Sessilida; Vorticellidae
Description: SSU rRNA
Rfam family: Eukaryotic small subunit ribosomal RNA
Source: RNAcentral
AGGAAUGUGAUGAAUCAUAGUAAUCGAACGAAUCGCAGGUAUAUGCGAUAAGUCAUUCAAGUUUCUGCCCUAUCAGCUUUGGAUGGUAGUGUAUUGGACUACCAUGGCAGUCACGGGUAACGGAGAAUUAGGGUUCGAUUCCGGAGAGGGAGCCUGAGAAACGGCUACCACAUCUACGGAAGGCAGCAGGCGCGAAAAUUGCCCAAUCCUGACACGGGGAGGCAGUGACAAGAAAUAACAACUCUAGGUUUUCUUAGAAGUGUAAUGAGGAUAAUUUACAAACCUUACCAAAUGCAAUUGGAGGGCAAGUCUGGUGCCAGCAGCCGCGGUAAUUCCAGCUCCAAUAGCGUAUAUUAAAGUUGUUGCAGUUAAAAAGCUCGUAGUUGAAAUUCUGAUUGUUCGGGUUUUUAGCCUUUAGGCGGAAAUACCGACAGUCAUCCGCUUGCAAACAUACGUUUGACCUUAACCAGUUGACUAUGUGAGUAAGCAUUUUACCUUGAGAAAAACAGAGUGUUCCAGGCAGGUUUGUCCGGAAUGCAUUAGCAUGGAAUAAUAGAACAUGACUGAAGUCUAUUUAUUGGUUAAAGGCUUUAGUAAUGAUUAAUAGGAACAGUCGGGGGCAUUCGUACUCAGCAGUCAGAGGUGAAAUUCUAAGAUUUGCUGAAGACGAACUAAUGCGAAAGCAUUUGCCAAGGAUGUUUUCAUUAAUCAAGAACGAAAGUUAGGGGAUCAAAGACGAUCAGAUACCGUCCUAGUCUUAACUAUAAACGAUACCGACUCGGAUUCAGAUGAAUCAAAAUGUUCAUUUGGGACCGUAGGAGAAAUCAAAGUCUUUGGGUUCUGGGGGGAGUAUGGUCGCAAGGCUGAAACUUAAAGGAAUUGACGGUUUUGCACCACCAUGGAGUGGAGUUUGCGGCUUAAUUUGACAACACUGGGAAACUCAUCAGGGCAAGAAGAUUUUAGGAUUGACAGAUUGAGAGUUCUUUCUUGAUUGGUCUAGUGGUGGUGCAUGGCCGUUCUUAGUUGGUGGAGUGAUUUGUCUGGUUAAUUCCGUUAACGAACGAGACCUUAACCUGCUAACUAGUGUUCCGAUCUCAAAUCGGAAGCACUUCUUAGAGGGACUAUGUGAUGUAAUCACAUGGAAGUUUGAGGCAAUAACAGGUCUGUGAUGCCCUUAGAUGUCCUGAGCUGCACGCGUACUACAAUGGCACUUUCAACGAGUUUUUCCUGAUCCGAAAGGAUUUGGGUAAUCUUUUUAGUGAGUGCCGUGAUUGGGAUAGAUCUUUGUAAUUGUGGAUCUUGAACUAGGAAUUCCUAGUAAGCGCGAUUCAUCAAAUCGUGCUGAUUACGUCCCUGCAAAAU